This 467-nucleotide ribosomal RNA is filed under the name uncultured bacterium. RNAcentral describes it as "partial 16S ribosomal RNA". It matches the Rfam family "Bacterial small subunit ribosomal RNA", at positions 28 to 507 of the family's 1533-position model. The record is from RNAcentral.
GACGAACGCUGGCGGCGUGCUUAACACAUGCCAGUCGAACGGAAAGGCCCUGCUUUUGUGGGGUGCUCGAGUGGCGAACGGGUGAGAACACGUGAGUAACCUGCCCUUGACUUUGGGAUAACUUCAGGAAACUGGGGCUAAUACCGGAUAGGAGCUCCUGCUGCAUGGUGGGGGUUGGAAAGUUUCGGCGGUUGGGGAUGGACUCGCGGCUUAUCAGCUUGUUGGUGGGGUAGUGGCUUACCAAGGCUUUGACGGGUAGCCGGCCUGAGAGGGUGACCGGCCACAUUGGGACUGAGAUACGGCCCAGACUCCUACGGGAGGCAGCAGUGGGGAAUAUUGCACAAUGGGCGGAAGCCUGAUGCAGCAACGCCGCGUGCGGGAUGACGGCCUUCGGGUUGUAAACCGCUUUCGCCUGUGACGAAGCGUGAGUGACGGUAAUGGGUAAAGAAGCACCGGCUAACUACGUG